This 408-nucleotide ribosomal RNA is filed under the name uncultured bacterium. Its description in RNAcentral is "partial 16S ribosomal RNA". It matches the Rfam family "Bacterial small subunit ribosomal RNA", at positions 28 to 526 of the family's 1533-position model. The record is from RNAcentral.
GACGAACGCUGGCGGCGUGCUUAACACAUGCAAGUCGAACGAAGUGGCGAACGGGUGAGUAACGCGUAAUCAACCUGCCCUUCAGAGGGGGACAACAGUUGGAAACGGUGGCUAAUACCGCAUACUGUCGGAUGACCCAAUAUGGGAUUAGCUAGUUGGAGGGGUAACGGCCCACCAAGGCGAUGAUCAGUAGCCGGUCUGAGAGGAUGAACGGCCACAUUGGGACUGAGACACGGCCCAGACUCCUACGGGAGGCAGCAGUGGGGAAUCUUCCGCAAUGGACGAAAGUCUGACGGAGCAACGCCGCGUGAGUGAUGACGGCCUUCGGGUUGUAAAGCUCUGUUAAUCGGGACGCGGUACCGGAAUAGAAAGCCACGGCUAACUACGUGCCAGCAGCCGCGGUAAUAC